Molecule: ribosomal RNA, 492 nt
Filed under: uncultured bacterium
Lineage: Bacteria
Description: partial 16S ribosomal RNA
Rfam family: Bacterial small subunit ribosomal RNA
Source: RNAcentral
AUUGAACGCUGGCGGCAUGCUUUACACAUGCAAGUCGAGCGGUAACAGGCCUUCGGGUGCUGACGAGUGGCGAACGGGUGAGUAAUGCAUCGGAACGUACCCAGAGGUGGGGGAUAACGCAGCGAAAGCUGUGCUAAUACCGCAUGUGAUCUGAGGAUGAAAGCGGGGGACCGAGCAGCAAUGUUUGGCCUCGCGCCUUUGGAGCGGCCGAUGUCGGAUUAGCUAGUUGGUGGGGUAAAGGCCUACCAAGGCGACGAUCCGUAGCUGGUCUGAGAGGACGACCAGCCACACUGGGACUGAGACACGGCCCAGACUCCUACGGGAGGCAGCAGUGGGGAAUUUUGGACAAUGGGCGCAAGCCUGAUCCAGCAAUGCCGCGUGCGGGAAGAAGGCCUUCGGGUUGUAAACCGCUUUUGGCAGGAACGAAACGGUGUCUGCUAAUACCGGGCGCUAAUGACGGUACCUGCAGAAUAAGCACCGGCUAACUACGUG